UUUCCAAACAUUCACUUCUUCUACUAAAUACGGAACAAUAUGUUGAUGCCACUGUUUCCAAAGUUUAUCUAAAGAGUUGACUUCUAUUCUUUUCUGUAGAGUUAAGUCUUUUAGUAUGGAAACAAAAGUACAGGGUUGUUGUACUGUUUUGUAAGAGGCAAAAUCAGGAGGGUGCAAAUAGACAAAAGUAUUCUUCUGUUCUUCUUGUGGCUUUUCUGCAUUUUCAUCCAAUAAACUAUAAAUGGACUCAUUCGAGCCAGUUGAUAUGUCAUCGUUUAUCGUGGUGUUACUUCAGACGUGAUACUCCACGGUGACUGUUAAGACUUUCCUCGGAAUCACUAAAAGAAUCCAUUGGUGAUGUACAAUCGGUAUCGGACGCUGAUAGUUGUGAUAAUAACUUUUCAAGUGGCGGUUGACAAAUUGCGUUGAUGACAUUUUCAUUUAUGGUUGGUUCUAAAAUUUCACGUUCGUCAAACGUGACAGGACGGCUUUCGUUCGUCGCGCUUUCUUGCUUUUUCUUUAAUGUUGCUUCAUACAUAUCUUACAUUUUUUUCGAGCGUGAAGCUAGCGUCAUUUUGUUAAUGCAAAACUAACAACAGGUCGAAUCUGUCAAAAUAAUUUGAUUAAUAGUUUCUUAGAGUUGUUCUGAGCCGUGGAAAGCAAUAAGCAACAGUAGCCGCUGUUUUUAGGCACAUACACUUUACAAAGAAAACAGAUGAUGAUCUAUUCUAUUUCAAAAUCAUAAAAAGUAUCCGUCGAACAAAACAAGAAUUGAGUAGAUAUAACAUUAAUGGAAAAUUCGUCGAAAAAACUUUGCUACACCUAUACGCUACGUCAAGUGGAAUACAAAGCAGAAAUAUGUGAAGGUUAACGAAGUACGAGUCAGCAUGAACUAUUUAAUGCAUUACAAGAAGAUGCCACUUUAAAAAAACGUGUUUGCAGAUAAAUUUUUUGUUCUAUACACGAAUACUUAUAAAAAAACAUUACGAUUACUGUCCUAUUUCAUUCGGCCAUCAAUUUAAUUUUUUAUUGUCGAGAGUGCUUUUCUAGUUAAAUCAUGAAAAAAUGGAAUUGACUUGUUAUGAUCAAGAAGUGAAAUUUUAAAUGGUAUAAUUAAAAACACAAAGCGUAAGGUUAAAUACAAAAACCA
Molecule: long non-coding RNA, 1150 nt
Organism: Hylaeus volcanicus
Lineage: Eukaryota; Metazoa; Arthropoda; Insecta; Hymenoptera; Colletidae
Exons: 5
Source: RefSeq, a predicted model, not a curated record